AGUUCGGCUGGAUCGGUGACAGGUGCUGCAUGGCUGUCGUCAGCUCGUGUCGUGAGAUGUUGGGUUAAGUCCCGGCAACGAGCGCAACCCUUGUCCUUAGUUGCCAGCAUUCAGUUGGGCACUCUAAGGAGACUGCCGGUGUCAAACCGGAGGAAGGUGGGGAUGACGUCAAGUCCUCAUGGCCCUUAUGUCCAGGGCUACACACGUGCUACAAUGGCCGGUACAAAGGGGCGCAAGACCGCGAGGUGGAGCAAAUCCCAAAAAACCGGUCUCAGUUCGGAUUGGAGUCUGCAACUCGACUCCAUGAAGUUGGAAUCGCUAGUAAUCGCGUAUCAGCAUGACGCGGUGAAUACGUUCCCGGGCCUU
Molecule: ribosomal RNA, 366 nt
Filed under: uncultured Desulfuromonas sp.
Lineage: Bacteria; Pseudomonadati; Thermodesulfobacteriota; Desulfuromonadia; Desulfuromonadales; Desulfuromonadaceae
Description: bacterial SSU rRNA
Rfam family: Bacterial small subunit ribosomal RNA
Source: RNAcentral